CACAUAAGGGAGAAACUUUUACAAAAUAUGUUUCAACUGCAUCUAUAACUCUGACCAGAAACCAUGAGAAAGAUUCCCUGAACAAGAGUUUGACUAUCUCUUCUCAGCUUUAUGAGACAGUACAAGACACUCCACAUUCUUUACCUCUGGAAACAACUGACAACAAAAGAGGAAACCAGGGGUGCAAAGAGAACACGUUAGGAAACGAAGAGUGAUUUAAACCUACCAGGGUGGUUUUUCAAGGAGCAGAACAAUCACCUCAAUUAAAGGUGGAAAUCAUACAUGCUUAGUAAUGUUCUGAUUAAAUGUUUGUUUUUUAGUACGUUGAAAUAUGUUAUGUUUUGCAAUAAUGUUAC
Molecule: long non-coding RNA, 356 nt
Organism: Spea bombifrons (plains spadefoot toad)
Lineage: Eukaryota; Metazoa; Chordata; Amphibia; Anura; Pelobatidae
Exons: 4
Source: RefSeq, a predicted model, not a curated record